This 402-nucleotide ribosomal RNA is filed under the name uncultured bacterium. RNAcentral's name for it is "bacterial SSU rRNA". It matches the Rfam family "Bacterial small subunit ribosomal RNA", at positions 917 to 1322 of the family's 1533-position model. The record is from RNAcentral.
GGGCCCGCACAAGCGGUGGAGCAUGUGGUUUAAUUCGAUGAUACGCGAGGAACCUUACCAGGGCUUAAAUGCAGAACGACAGACUGGGAAACCAGUCCUUCUUCGGACGAUCUGCAAGGUGCUGCAUGGUUGUCGUCAGCUCGUGCCGUGAGGUGUCGGGUUAAGUCCCAUAACGAGCGCAACCCCUAUCCUUAGUUGCCAGCGAGUAAUGUCGGGGACUCUAAGGAAACUGCCUGCGCAAGCAGUGAGGAAGGUGGGGAUGACGUCAAAUCAUCACGGCCCUUACGUCCUGGGCUACACACGUGCUACAAUGGCGCAUACAAAGGGCAGCUACCUGGUGACAGGAUGCUAAUCUCUAAAGUGCGUCUCAGUUCGGAUCGAAGUCUGCAACUCGACUUCGUG